RNAcentral lists this ribosomal RNA (450 nucleotides) under uncultured bacterium. RNAcentral's name for it is "partial 16S ribosomal RNA". It matches the Rfam family "Bacterial small subunit ribosomal RNA", at positions 354 to 796 of the family's 1533-position model. The record is from RNAcentral.
GUGGGGAAUAUUGGACAAUGAGGGGAACCCUGAUCCAGCCAUGCCGCGUGUGUGAAGAAGGCCUUUUGGUUGUAAAGCACUUUAAGCGAGGAGGAGGCUACCGAGAUUAAUACUCUUGGAUAGUGGACGUUACUCGCAGAAUAAGCACCGGCUAACUCUGUGCCAGCAGCCGCGGUAAUACAGAGGGUGCAAGCGUUAAUCGGAUUUACUGGGCGUAAAGCGCGCGUAGGUGGCCAAUUAAGUCAAAUGUGAAAUCCCCGAGCUUAACUUGGGAAUUGCAUUCGAUACUGGUUGGCUAGAGUAUGGGAGAGGAUGGUAGAAUUCCAGGUGUAGCGGUGAAAUGCGUAGAGAUCUGGAGGAAUACCGAUGGCGAAGGCAGCCAUCUGGCCUAAUACUGACACUGAGGUGCGAAAGCAUGGGGAGCAAACAGGAUUAGAUACCCGGGUGUCC